AGCUUUGCAGAGUGGCAGUAUCGUAGCCAAUGAGGUUCAUCCAAGGCGUGAUUAUUGCUAACUGAAACUGAAUUU
RNAcentral lists this small nuclear RNA (75 nucleotides) under Canis lupus familiaris (dog). Its description in RNAcentral is "U4 spliceosomal RNA". It matches the Rfam family "U4 spliceosomal RNA", at positions 1 to 75 of the family's 138-position model. From Rfam's summary of the family: U4 small nuclear RNA (U4 snRNA) is a component of the major U2-dependent spliceosome. The structure of U4 snRNA from yeast and human has been reported. U4 snRNA presents a k-turn RNA motif in the 5p-SL related to recognition of Snu13 protein. The record is from Rfam by way of RNAcentral. Lineage: Eukaryota; Metazoa; Chordata; Mammalia; Carnivora; Canidae. RNAcentral also lists the same sequence under 2 other names.